This 564-nucleotide small RNA is filed under the name Pan troglodytes (chimpanzee). Its description in RNAcentral is "retained intron". The record is from RNAcentral. Lineage: Eukaryota; Metazoa; Chordata; Mammalia; Primates; Hominidae.
AUGCAUAAAUGUACACAGAAACAGGUGGGGGCAACAGUGGGAGAGAAGGGGCCAGGGUAUAAAAAGGGCCCACAAGAGACCAGCUCAAGGAUCCCAAGGCCCAACUCCCCGAACCACUCAGGGUCCUGUGGACAGCUCACCUAGCGGCAAUGGCUCCAGGCUCCCGGACAUCCCUGCUCCUGGCCUUUGCCCUGCUCUGCCUGCCCUGGCUUCAAGAGGCUGGUGCCGUCCAAACCGUUCCGUUAUCCAGGCUUUUUGACCACGCUAUGCUCCAAGCCCAUCGCGCGCACCAGCUGGCCAUUGACACCUACCAGGAGUUUGUAAGUUCUUGGGGAAUGGGUGGGGGUCAGGGGUGGCAAGAAGGGGUGACUUUCCCCCACUGGGGAAGUAAUGGGAGGAGACUAAGGAGCUCAGGGUUGUUUUCUGAAGCGAAAAUGCAGGCAGAUGAGCAUAGGCUGAGCCAGAUUCCCAGAAAAGUAACAAUGGGAGCUGGUCUCCAGCAUAGAAAGCAGCCGUCCUUCUUGGUGGGGGGUCCUUCUCCUAGGAAGAAGCCUAUAUCCCAAA